This is a long non-coding RNA of Oncorhynchus tshawytscha (Chinook salmon), 8790 nucleotides long. Lineage: Eukaryota; Metazoa; Chordata; Actinopteri; Salmoniformes; Salmonidae. The record is from Ensembl.
AGAGAAUUCAGAGCACAGUUCCUAGUUCCUGACCUCUGGUGUGCACCUGUGCGCACAUUCUCAGGAAGCUCCCAUGUUGCCAGGGAUCACAACAACAGUGGGACAAAACAUCGCAGUGGUCUAGAAUCAACUCAGCACAGCUAGAAGUGUCAACACGACUUGAGCAUUGAAGAUGUUGCGAUUGCUGUUUCUGUGUUUGAUUGUGACUCUGCAAGGAGCUGCUGGUACGUAUCACAUGUUCUCACCUUCCCACAAUGCUCUGGCAGCAGACACUGAGACACUGACAAAGAUCUAAUCACACAGAUCACCUUUUUAUUGUUUUUAUGCCUGUAUGUGUUCCAUACGAGAAAUAUACACCGUCUCUCUCUGAGUCCUAUAGCUUCCAGGGGUAGCAGAAUAUUAAGAGGAAAACUGCUUAGAAGAACCUAGGCUGAUACUUAAGAUAGCCUGCAAAGUUCUGUCAUACUUUCCAGGUCUAUGCCCAAACAGUUCCAGCUUCUAAUUUAAAAAAUGAAUCUCUCCAGAAAUAAGUCGCUCACUGUUGUCUCCUGUUAUAGACCCCUCUCAGCUCCCAGCUGUGCUCUGGACUCCAUAUGUGAAUUGAUUGCCCCCCAUCUAUCUUCAGAGUUCAUUCUGUUAGGUGACGGAAACUGGGAUAUGCUUAACAACCCGGCAGUCCUACAAUCUAAACUAGAUGCCCUCAAUCUCACACAAAUGAUCAAGGAACCCACCAGGUACAACCCUAAAUCUGUAAACAUGGGCACCCUCAUAGAUAUUAUCCUCACCAGGAUCUCAGUGAUCACUGCCUCAUUGCCUGCAUCCGCCAUGGGUCCGUGGUCAAACAACCACCACUCAUUACUGUCAAACGCUCCCUAAAAAAACCUCUGUGAGCAGGCCUUUCUAAUCGACCUGGCCUGGGUAUACGGGAAAGAUAUUGACCUCAUCCCAUCAGUCGUUCUUUAAAAGUAAUUUCCUCACCAUCCUAAAUAAACAUGCCCCUUCAAAACAAUGUAGAACUAAGAACAGAUAAAGCCCUUGGUUCACUCCAGACCUGACUGCCCUCGACCAGCACAAAAACAUCCUGUGGCGGACUGCACUAGCAUCGAAUAGUCACCGCGAUAUGCAACUUUUCAGGGAAGUCAGGAAUCAAAACACGCACUCAGGCCGGCAAGCGAAGGCUAGCUUAUUCAAACAGAAAUUUGCAUCCUGUAGCUCUAACUCCAAAAAGUUUUGGGACACUUUAAGGCCACGGAGAACAAGAGCACCUCCUCCCAGCUGCCCACUGCACUGAGUCUAGGUAGUACUGUCACCACCAAUAAAUCCACGAUAAUCGGGAAUUUAAAUAAGCAUUUCUCUACGGCUGGCCAUGCUUUCAUCCUGGCUACCCCAACCCCGGCCAACAGCUCCACACCCCCCGCAGCUACUUUCCCAAGCCUCCCCAGCUUCUCCUUCACCCAAAUCCAGAUAGCAGAUGUUCUGAAAGAGCUGCAAAACUUGGUCCCCUACAAAUCAGCUGGGAUAGACAAUCUGGACCCUCUCUUUCUAAAAUUAUCCGCCGCCAUUGUUGCAACCCCUAUUACCAGUCUGUUCAACCUCUCUUUCCUUUCAUCUGCGAUCCCUACAGAUUGGAAAGCAGCCGCGUCAUCCCCUUCUUCAAAGGGGGUGACAAUCUAGACCCAAACUGUUAUAGACCUAUAUCCAUCCUGCCCUGCCAUUCUAAAGUCUUCAAAAGCCAAGUUAAUAAACAGAUCAUUGACCCUUUCGAAUCCCACUGUACCUUCUCUGCUGUACAAUCCGGUUUCCGAGCUGGUUACGGGUACACCUCAACAAUGCUCAAGGUACUAAACGAUAUGAUAACCGCUAUCGAUAAAAGACAGUACUGUAGAGCCGUCUUCAUCGACCUGGCCAAGGCUGUCGACUCUGUCAAUCACCACAUUCUUAUUCUUAUCGGCAGACUCAACAGCCUUGGUUUCUCAAAUGACUGCCUCGCCUGGUUCAACAACUACUUCUCAGACAGAGUUCAGUGUGUCAAAUCGGAGGGCCUGUUGUCCGGACCUCUGGCAUUCUCUAUGGGGGUAUGACAGGGUUCAAUUCUUGGGCCGACUCUUUUCUCUGUAUAUAUCACUGAUGUCGCUCUUGCUGCGGGUGAUUCCCUGAUCCACCUCUAUGCAGACUACACCAUUCUGUAUACAUCUGGCCCUUCUUUGGGCACUGUGUUAACUCACCUCCAAGCGAGCUCCAAUGCCAUACAACACUCCUUCCGUGGCCUGCAACUGCUCUUAAACGCUAGUAAAAUUAAAUGCAUGCUUUUCAAACGUUCGCUGCUCGCACCUGCCCACCAGCCCAGUAUCACUACUCUGGGCAGUUCUGACUUAGAAUAUGUGGACAACUACAAAUACCUAGGUGUCUGGCUAGACUGCAAACUCGCCGUCCAGACUCAUAUUAAACAUCUCCAAUCCAAAAUCAAAUCUAGAAUCGGCUUCCUUUUUCGCAACAAAACCUCCUUUACUCACACCGCCAAACAUACCCUCGUAAAACUGACUAUCCUACAGAUCCUCGACUUCGGCGAUGCCAUUUACAAAAUAGCCUCCAACACUCUACUCAGCAAACUGGAUGUGGUCUAUCACAGUGCCAUCCGUUUUGUCACCAAAGCCCCUUAUACCACCCACCACUGCGACCUGUAUGCUCUAGUCGGCUGGCCCUCGCUACAUAUUCGUCGCCAGACCCACUGGCUCCAGGUCAUCUAUAAGUCUAUGCUAAGUAAAUCUCCGCCAUAACUCCACUCACUGGUCACGAUAACAACACUCACCCGUGGCACGCGCUCCAGCAGGUAUAUCUCACCGGUCAUCCCCAAAGCCAACACCUCUUUGGCUGCCUUUCCUUCCAGUUCUCUGCUGCCAAUGACUGGAACGAAUUGCAAAAAUCACUGAAGCUGGAGACUAUUCCCCUCACUAACUUUAACCAUCAGCUAUCUGAGCAGCUAACUGAUCGCUGCAGCUGUACAUAACCCAUCUGUAAAUAGCCCACCCAAUCUACCUACCUCAUCCCCAUAUUGUUUUUAUUUACUUUUCUGAUCUUUUUCACACCAAUAUUUCUAUUUACACAUCAUCAUCUACACAUCUAUCACUCCAGUGUUAAUUUGCUAAAUUGUAAUUACUUCGCCACUAUGGCCUAUUUAUUGCCUUGCGAGGGCGCCAUUUGCACACACUGUAUAUAGACUUUCUUUUUUUCUAUUGUGUUAUUGACUGUACGCUUGUUUAUUCCAUGUGUAACUCUGCGUUGUUGUUUCUGUCACACUGCUUUGCUUUAUCUUGGCCAGGUCACAGUUGUAAAUGAAAACUUGUUCUCAACUAGCCUACCUGGUUAAAUAAAGGUGAAAUAUAAAAAUUAAAGUAUAUGUUUAGGAAAGAAUACAUAUACAUUAUAUAAACCACAGUUCAACAUAAAGAAGAUAUGAACCUGUAUAUGCUACAGUAGUGUUUUACUAUCUAUCUAAAGGUGUAGUUAGUUAUUUCCACAAAACUCUGAAACUGGUAAUAUUAAGAUGGCUACCUUUACCAUGAGCUAAAUGCCCUAGCCACAGAAGUAUGGAGUUCAUGAGUGAGUAUAUCAUUGAAUGGAUGGCAGCUCAAUCAUUCUGUAUAUCCCACAGUAGGAGUUCAUAGGAGAGUAGCUCUGCUCCCGUAUAGUGCAGAGAUGUAACGAAUAACCUUAGUGAUGUACAGUAAGAAGCUGCUGUGAGUUAAUCUGGUCCCAUCCUCCUGUCACGGUAGUUAAAAGAAGAGGUUCUCAAUCAGAGACGACAGACAGCUGUCCCUGAUUGAGAACCCUACCCGGCCAAAACAUAGAAAUACAAAUAAUAGAACAUAGAAUACCCACCCCAAAUCACACCCUGGGCGUGACACCUCCCCAUCUCUAUUCCCAUACAGCUUCCUCAGAAGAGAGUGAAGGAUCAGCAGACGUAGCAGGUAUGGAAUACAUCUUCAUCUGGAAACCAAAGGGGACAAAAUCACAUGUGGCAUGAAAUUUUCAUAAAUUCAGAAACAUUUUCAUAAAUUUGACAAAAGUGAUGAUUAUGUUUAGGAGUACCGUGAUGAUUCGAUAAUGUUCCAUGAGUGAACCCUCAAAUGAAGCACUGCAAUAGAACUACUGCUAAUCUUUAAAUGUAAUACAAGCUACUUUAUAUUGAUGCUGACUGGGCUUUUCCCUCUUCCUCUAUUCUGAAUAUCCCACAGACGGAGACGAUGAAGAUCUAUUCAAGCAAAACGUGAUCCCAAAUCUCAGGAAUGAUUACGUGGUUAUCGAACCUGAAACAAAUGAUAUUGUGGACACAAACAAGGCAACAGGAGAAAAAGUAGGGGAAGAUGGAUUUACUACCAUUGUCAUCAUCGUAGCCGUGAGUGUGGUGGCACUGUCAAUCGCAGUGAUAGUAGCCAUAGUGCUGGUCCGGCGCCGCAUGCACAACCGACCACAAGGGAUCUACUCAGUGCCUACAGAACAGGGAAUGAAAGGAACGGUCUAACCACAAGAUGAGCUCCAGUCCAAUUGGACACCUGCAGGGGAGGAGCUCUACAACACACUGACCUUUGACUCAGGAAGGGAACACUUUCCACCCCAGCCUGCUCUUACUGAACCACUCCCUACUGCUCUCCUCUCUGGGACCAUCUGUUACUGUGUCAUGGGUCCCCUCCAAAGCCAGUGUAACUUAGUUUCCUAUAUUUGGUCUGUUGUUCAUUUUUGUGCCACAUAUCUCAAUGUAUGUGUGUAUAUUUAAAAGGGCAUUCUGCAGUUGCUAAAUCCAUUUCUGGAUGUACUCAUUGAUUCUUGAAUAAUAUAUAUGCCUCAGUUCAACUGUCGUGCCCCAUCAGAACCCAAAACAUAAGCUUGUUUUAUGCCAAUGUUAGCAAACAAAGUAUGUUUAAACAAAUGCUAUAUAGCCUCAAAACAUGGUUAAAACUAUGAUUUUGAUAUCACGGAUAGUCAGUCUUUGCAUCCAUAGCUCAUAGCCUAUGAAUUUGAGAAUGGUUAUAUUUCUCUGGCCCCAUCCCUCAGUUUUUUACCAAAAUAGGGAGAGAACGCUUUAUUGUUUCAACUACGGAUUAUCCCUUUAUGCUUGGGACACAUAGCAACAUUUGGAACCUAAGUUUUGUCAUUGGAUUCUAUUGAAAAACCCUGAAGCCAAUGAAUGUGACCAAAUGUGACAAACUCCUUUUGUCCAAUGGCAUAUUUUUCAAGAAAAACAAGUAUUGCUAAAAGUCAUUUGCAAUUGUUCCGACAGGUUUCUCCGCUCCUUCACUAAACUAAACUGUAUUCAGAGUUGAUUUGGUGCAUUCAGAACAGGCUUUUUUUGCAUGAGAAAAACAAGUUUAAUCCACCCUAAACCAACCCAGUCCUCUCUAAAUUUCCCCAUUCAACUCUGUGACAUAUCCUGUCCUUGGCCUCUUAGUGACAACAGAAAAUACAGUUGAAAGAUAAAACUCUCCCAUCUUCUCAACCUCUGAAGGGGAAAAAAGGAAAAAAAAUGGGUGGAAAAAGCCAGUCAGGUCUGUUUGAACAUUCACUUGAGGUGGAGAAUUAAUCAACUUUAGUGAAUGAUGUUUUCUUUUCAACUCCCCCCAUUCUCUUUUUCUUUUUGAAAUGCUUUUGUUCAAAACGUCAACCACAUCACCGAUUGUAAAUUGCUCUCGGAUGGCUGAGGAAAGUCUGAUUUGAAUGGUUUAUAGUGCUGGGACAGGGACGGGGAUGGGGACGGGGACCGGGGGAUAGAGAGGAUAAAAUAAAGUGUGGGGGUAGGUAGGGUGGGAUGUGAGUGGGGAAAUACCCACCAUGCCCAUGUUUCAUUCAUACUGAGUACAGGGCCGCUCCACGAUCGCUCCCUGGCUCUACUUUCAUUUAAAUGGAAAUCAAUCAUGCCCCGUGAACAAAAGCUUUAGGGCCGAGGUGCUGGCUGGCUUAUUUCUUACUCUGCAUUACAGAGAAAGGCAGGGGUCAGAGGAGAGGGGGAGGUGGACAUUAUGUGCUUCUGCAUGACAGGGCUAUUCAUUUGUUGCGUUAUCAUGAGGGAACAAGGGUUGUUGUGAGUGUGUGUGAAUUACACCCACGAUCAAGUAGUGUUGAAAUAACUGGGUCUGUCUAAACAGCAUGCGCACUGUCUUUCUCCACUCAACCUUACUGCUGUGAUGUCAUCAGCUGGGGAUGGGCUUGGCUCCAGGCUGUACAGAAACACCUGUGUAAUUAGCGCCUCCAUCUCAUUUUGUGUUAUCUGGUUCACUCAAUCAGAAUUGUCCCAAUCUGUUUAAGUUGAUGAAAUUCAAUUAGUAGCUGGUGCUGCUAAUAGUGAGAAACAGAUCCUAAAUGCAUACGGAGUGGUAUGUGUGUGUCUGCACUCUGCAGGUGUUUGUGGGGUUUGAUUGAAGCAUCACAACUAGCCCAGUAAGCCUUUCUUAGAUGUAGUCUAGCUCUGACAGCAUUUCAAAAGGAGAAUAAUUUGACAUACAUUUAAAAGAACUUUCACUUACCCUUUGUUUACUGACCACAGUCAUAUUCAAGAAAGCCUUUUUCCCUACUCAGAAAUAGCAUGAGAAAUACCCUUCACCUGCAAAGCAGAUGUUGUGGUUACGAGUCUGCGACUAGUCUCACUAUAAGAUGAGGUUUGCAUAGAACAGUUUUUCUUGUUCACGAUACAAAGAACAUCUAAGAACCGUUCAAGCAAGCAUGUUGAAUAAGCCAUGAACCAAAUAAAGUGCAGAAAUCCUAAAAGAAUUGGUUUGACCUGUGUAAUGCCCUGUUCAUUCAGCUACACUCGCACAUCUCCGUGGCAUUAUGCUCCUUCAAAGCCACAAAGCAUUGCUAUUGUGAAUGCAUCAAAACUGAUUGUCCUCCAUUUAUUUCUUCCAGGCCUUACGUUGAAAAGGGUAUGAAAUGUUCAAAUAUUGGAAAAAAAUAUUGGAUUUUCAAAAGAGCUCCAUGGGCUUUUUCAGCUGUGCAAAAGUUUCUCUAGGUCAUUUUUCAUCUAAUCUUUAUUUUUUUGUCAAGAGAAAGCACUAUCGAGUUCAGCCAAUCCUUGACACUGUCAGACAUGUCAGUAACUUAUUAUACAAAAGUCCUUACACCACCCCCUCUCCAAAAAAACUGUUGUGCCUUCUGUCUUUUGAUGAAAAUAGGAAAAUGUAUCAACCAGCAGAUUUUGUUUGAUGAGCUUGAUGCAUUUCAGGGAUGAUGCGUCCUCUGCACAGCAAUACGUUAUGCAAAUGUCUUCCAAAAAAUUAUUUUCUUUGACAAGUAGCUUGGUGUAUUAUUAUAUUGUUAUGAAAUGUCCUAUUGUAAACUCAAUAUUCAAAUGAUAAUUUAGUCUUUUAGUUAAGCACACGUCUUCAGCAGUACUCAUAAUCAAUGCUGAUAAACCCUGUACAUUCUGUUUGCUCAGGAUCAUUAACUAUUUGUAACGUACAGCAGCGAAGUGUUUUGACAAUGCUCUAUAUUUCAUCCAUUCCUAUGUCUAUGAAUCUGAGUCUGCUUUAGAAUAACGAGACCUGCACUAAAAGUGUAAUCUUGCUGUUCUACUUGUACUGUAGGUUUCCACAGCCCACACAUUCUCCAAUCAUUCAAUUUGGACUAGCAUUACUUAUGUUCUGUAUAUGGCUCUUCUAUAUCAUGGAUUAUGACUAUUUUUACAUUAAAUGUGUUCUGCUAUGCUUUGUCUCGGCGUGAAUGCUUCACGAUAUGCCAUAUGGACACAGAGCUGGUACACUAUAUGGCAUAAUCCAAAGUUUUGCUCAUUUAAAUUGUAAAUUGUACAAUGAAAAGCCACUAAGAAGCUUAAAAUAACUUUCUACUAAAACAUUUUGUCAGUCUGUUUUCUGAGUAAAGAACAUGCUGGAACUACUGACCAUCUGUUUUCUUUGUGAGUUAUACAAUACAGGAAAGGGAAGCGAACAGGUUUUAUUUUUACAUCCUGAUAACUUUAGGGGUAUUUUGAAGAUUAACAGAUAGUGGAAUGUUUUUCAGGGCCAUUUUAUUCAUGAGGCUUAUUGUAUGAGGCUCGGCCGUUUCUGAGGUAAUGAUUUUAAACGUUUUCAUAGAAACAGCUUGGCUAGAGUUGAGCAGGCUGUUCGAUAGAGGAGGUGGAAACCUGAAUUCAAACAUGACUCAUCUUGUCAUUAUCCAGCCAGACUCGCAAUUAAUUUUAAUUUCAAAGUUGAAUUCGGUAAUGGAAAUAACAUUUAACAAAGACUAACAGGAAAAUAAUGCCCCUAUUCUUCACUUGUCAGCGUGACUCAUUUGUCCAUGGUUUAUUCUGGAGUUUUUUACAUUUAUUUUUUAUUUUCUCUCCACCUCUCUGUUCUGUUAUAAGGACAAUCAUGUGGCCAGUGACACUUUAAUUCUUGAAAGUCCAAUAUCUUGAAAACUUGACUGUUGACAUGCAAAACAUUUUGGAUCUGUAUUAACAGUGCAUUAAUGAAAAAAAUACCCAAAUAUAGUUUGAGUCGAAUUUCCAUUUAAAGGUAGAACAGAGAAGCUUCUCAGACACCUAUGUCUGUAUUGUGCCUUUGGCAUGUAGUAUUGGCAAUUCCCUACCCGGAACCAGAGGGACUGUUCGGUUAGAUGAGGCUGUCAGAGGCAUGAUGGACCUCCAUAAUAUCUGUGGAAAUGAGACCAUGAACAGGACAUGUAUGUGAUUUAUUAGAGAAAAUGUCAUCCACGUUGGUGACAAAUCUACAGAUAAAAUCUACAUGAAAAUCUGUGAAAAGCUAGGCAUGGAAUUUGCUGUCUCUGUGAUAUGAGAAAAAA